AACGAACGCUGGCGGCAGGCCUAACACAUGCAAGUCGAACGCCCGUAGCAAUACGGGAGUGGCAGACGGGUGAGUAACGCGUGGGAACGUGCCCUUCGGUUCGGAAUAACUCAGGGAAACUUGAGCUAAUACCGGAUACGUCCGUAAGGAGAAAGAUUUAUCGCCGAAGGAUCGGCCCGCGUCGGAUUAGCUAGUUGGUGAGGUAACGGCCCACCAAGGCGACGAUCCGUAGCUGGUCUGAGAGGANGAUCAGCCACACUGGGACUGAGACACGGCCCAGACUCCUACGGGAGGCAGCAGUGGGGAAUAUUGGACAAUGGGGGCGAACCCUGAUCCAGCAAUGCCGCGUGAGUGAUGAAGGCCUUCGGUU
This 370-nucleotide ribosomal RNA is filed under the name uncultured bacterium. RNAcentral's name for it is "bacterial SSU rRNA". It matches the Rfam family "Bacterial small subunit ribosomal RNA", at positions 29 to 423 of the family's 1533-position model. The record is from RNAcentral.